Entelurus aequoreus (snake pipefish) is the source of this 486-nucleotide long non-coding RNA. RefSeq lists it as uncharacterized. The transcript is spliced from 3 exons. NCBI's taxonomy places the organism in Eukaryota, Metazoa, Chordata, Actinopteri, Syngnathiformes, Syngnathidae. The record is from RefSeq and is a predicted model, not a curated record.
UGCAAAUAGCCAUUACAUUAUAACGUAGUCGUUUUGUUUAUUGAAAAAUAACACAUCCACUUUGACUCGGGAGCUUGGGGUAAGAGUUAUUUCUUCAAUGUGUUUAGGUACAACAACUAUUAUUAUAGAGGACGAAGCUAUCCCAACUCCACUACAUGUCCACGGAGCACUGCAGGUCUACCCCUUUGUUGGAAGCACGUUGGUGUGGAGUUUGCAAAAGUGGAAGCCUUAUCUGCCUGCGUGGUUCGAUCCUGUGGCUCUGCUGGCCUGUUGCUUCUCUCCCAAGCUACUCCACAGCCCUGGACCUCCCUCCACUCGCUCCAACUUUCACCCCACCCACAAGGCUUAUCACCCCCCACUUUUACUUCCAAUGCCGCCUCCUGCAGCAGGCAUUCCACUUCUCAUAUCCAGGGUGUGUGUGUGUGCGUGUUGCGCCCCCUCUUCACCCUGCCCCUCUUUUCAUGGGGGAUGGGUGUCUGAGGGGUC